This 255-nucleotide ribosomal RNA is filed under the name Corynebacterium belfantii. RNAcentral describes it as "partial 23S ribosomal RNA". It matches the Rfam family "Bacterial large subunit ribosomal RNA", at positions 455 to 710 of the family's 2925-position model. The record is from RNAcentral. Lineage: Bacteria; Bacillati; Actinomycetota; Actinomycetes; Mycobacteriales; Corynebacteriaceae.
ACCCGGUAAGCCUAAAUACUUAUGAUGACCGAUAGCGGAUUAGUACCGUGAGGGAAUGGUGAAAAGUACCCCGGGAGGGGAGUGAAAUAGUACCUGAAACCGUGUGCUUACAAUCCGUCAGAGCCUUGUUGUGGGGUGAUGGCGUGCCUUUUGAAGAAUGAGCCUGCGAGUCAGCGGCAUGUCGCGAGGUUAACCCGUGUGGGGUAGUCGUAGCGAAAGCGAAUCCUAAUGAGGGUGUUGUCAGUGGCAUGUUCU